AUGAACGCUGGCGGCGUGCCUAAUACAUGCAAGUCGAGCGAACAGACGAGGAGCUUGCUCCUCUGACGUUAGCGGCGGACGGGUGAGUAACACGUGGAUAACCUACCUAUAAGACUGGGAUAACUUCGGGAAACCGGAGCUAAUACCGGAUAAUAUAUUUAACCGCAUGGUUCAAUAGUGAAAGACGGUUUUGCUGUCACUUAUAGAUGGAUCCGCGCCGCAUUAGCUAGUUGGUAAGGUAACGGCUUACCAAGGCAACGAUUCGUAGCCGACCUGAGAGGGUGAUCGGCCACACUGGAACUGAGACACGGUCCAGACUCCUACGGGAGGCAGCAGUAGGGAAUCUUCCGCAAUGGGCGAAAGCCUGACGGAGCAACGCCGCGUGAGUGAUGAAGGUCUUCGGAUCGUAAAACUCUGUUAUUAGGGAAGAACAAAUGUGUAAGUAACUAUGCACGUCUUGACGGUACCUAAUCAGAAAGCCACGGCUAACUACGUG
RNAcentral lists this ribosomal RNA (496 nucleotides) under uncultured bacterium. Its description in RNAcentral is "partial 16S ribosomal RNA". It matches the Rfam family "Bacterial small subunit ribosomal RNA", at positions 29 to 507 of the family's 1533-position model. The record is from RNAcentral.